RNAcentral lists this long non-coding RNA (866 nucleotides) under Volvox carteri. RNAcentral's name for it is "long non-coding RNA (VCAR_LNC002073)". The record is from RNAcentral. Lineage: Eukaryota; Viridiplantae; Chlorophyta; Chlorophyceae; Chlamydomonadales; Volvocaceae.
AAAAUCCAUACCUUUGAAACCCUGUCUUUAAACCCAGAAAUUUGAGUAUGUUACAGCACGAUAGCAAUGACCAUGUUAUCUCCCCAUUCUUUGAAGCCGGCACAAAAAUACAAGAAUUACACGCGACACUGACACUGCAGGGGCGACGUUAGGAACUGGAAGCUUAGGGCUUGUACCUGCAACACCCGCUCUGCCGCUGAUGGCGCGGGAUGGCAAGGCUCGCCCCGCAAAAACGGCAGAAAGACAAGUACAAGACGUUAUACCUCUAGCUACAUCGAGAAUUUAGAUAGCCAGUUAUGUUUUAGCUUGCCAUGCAAUACUCGUCGUCAAAAGCAACGAAUUUUUGCAUUUUGUCCAGCCAAAGCGCCUUACGGACCCGGGACAGGCCGAGUUGUGAGAUUAGUGUUCGUGGGCGCUGGCUUCACAGGUGCCUCUUGGUAGUGCGCCAAGGUGCACGCUAGGCUAAUGACCUCACCAUGAUGAGAUUGCAUUGCAGUCGCGAAUACCUGGAAAUUUCGUUUCGUGUCAUGCAGUAGACUUGGUGGGAAGCAGAAAUCCCUCGACGCCGCAGCAUCAGCCCUCGCAAAGAUAGAGAAGUUCCACCUGCAAGUAGGUCGAACGUAGCGCUGGUCUUGACGCCUCAAUCUGCUGGUGUGGCAUCUGUUCCCGGGUGCGCGAUAGGUUCUUUCGCUCCGCUACCGUACUGUACAACGCUCCACACGAAGCAUACGGUAUACCCAACCUGGUUACAACUUCCAAUUCGCGCAGGACACCCUGGCCGUACUCAUAGUGAUGUCAGAGCGGUCGCCAACAAUGGUGGAAACGCAGGUGGGACUUUGGCUGCACCUGACCAGCUUACGAGGUGU